This 4337-nucleotide long non-coding RNA is filed under the name Brassica napus (rape). Its description in RNAcentral is "long non-coding RNA (BNAP_LNC013827)". Lineage: Eukaryota; Viridiplantae; Streptophyta; Magnoliopsida; Brassicales; Brassicaceae. The record is from RNAcentral.
CUAUGUGCCAUGGCACUCUACAGCGAGCACAGUGAACAAUGUCAAAGACUCUGCCAGGGAAAGGUAGCCUUGUAGUGCCCAUCACCGCAGAAAUGGCGGGAAUGCCUCUCUCAAGAGCAAAUUGCACUUGAGCUUCAUGUUCAUCUUUAGGCGCAAGGGACAUGGUGGUCACGUCUCUGUCAAAGAGGAAACCACCAAAGCUUGCAACACCACAUCCAACAUCCAAGACCACGCGAGAGCGUUUACCCCAAGAAAUAUCAGGGACAGACUGUAAAGCAGAUUUUUCAUCAGAAGAGGAACUCCAUAAGCACAAAUAUUUUACCCCUUAAGCAAUCAAAGUACAAACCAAUUCACAUUAUUUAACACAAUAGGGGAGUAGAAAACAACUGGAUGCAUAUAAGAAACAAUGGGUAAAAAAAGGAUUAUAUUUAGAGCAGUAAUCCAAUUCAGACGCUCUAACAACAAAAAUUACCAACCUCCUGUAUGAAAUCGAUGUAAUGAAGAGCACCAUGCUUGAAUUGGGUUCCUCCUCCAGGGAAAGUUAGAAACUCUCCGGUAACUUUAACCCAAUUUUGAUGCCCCUUAUACUCAGCAAUGGGGCACUGACAGUAUGAACUUGAAUGUAUGAUCUUUUUUUAUUAGGGAUGAAAUGCUUGGUUUAUAAUUAAGUGUAUGAUCGUUUGUUUAUUAUACAUUGAUAGUUUUUAGUGUAUGCUCGUAUUUAUUAUACAUGAGCCAAAUUAUAUUUCUAUUGAUAGGUAUAGUAACAUUCUCUAGCAUUUAAUUAUGGACUCACCAAUUUCUCAAUUGAUUUUCCAGCUGACACGUCACCCUAAUUAACAUUCUAAUUGCUUGACACCUAAGCGGGGCUAUUUUUUAAUUAAUACAAACUUCAGGUUAUAACUUUUCAAAUGUUCCUCUAUUAAUAUAUAGGGGAUAUCUUAAACAUUAUAUAUCUCUAUAAUACUGAUUAUCUGAAACCUAGAUCUAGCUAUUUUUUCUUAUUGUUUACAAACCAACCAACCAACUAAGACGAUCUAUAAGGCUGCUGGUGGCAUUGAGCAACCUUGUCCGAAAUUCCAACAAGCUUUGUGAAGAUAUAGUCUCCAAAGGAGCUUUACAGGUAUCGCGAGACUAACAUUGCUCACUAUGCUUCAGUUAUCGUCGCCAAAGUCGGUGGCGAUUCUUAGGAACAAAUGAGACCUCCCUGCAAAUUUAUUACGUUACAACAAACAAUAUUUCGUUACUUAAUUAGUAAUAUGUGCUAUUACGUUUGAAAUCAUUAUGAAUAUGCGCAAACAAGAUAGAAUCAGCCGUCAAGUGCACAAGAAUAUUAAAGAAGAGUACACCAAACAAGUUAAAGAAACAUUUUAAGAAACACACAAGCAAGACAAUGUGUAAUAAACUUUGCUAUUAAUCCCCCUCGGCAUAGGCUGUUUCGAGAUGAGCUUGCUCAGCUUCUCUGACUUCUUUCUCAGUCUUACGUCCCUUCUUCGACUUGUAAUAAAUGCUCAUGAAUGUGCCUAUAGCCCUGUACUUCCUGCGGCAAUGCUCGUACAAGUCAGCGUCAAACAUUCUCCAGAAGCUUCUCUCGUCGAGCUCAGAUACUGCAUACUGAGGCUGGUAGCCAUGGUUCUCUAUCAGCCACUGCUCCAUCUUUCGCACAGCUUCAACUCCAUCGAACACUUCGCCUCUCAGGACAGGACCAGGAGCGUAGUAGACUCCAACGUCAGUGUACAUCUGUGCAUCUUCUGUGUCUCCCUGUCUCAUCUCAUACUCAAAUCCUGGUUCGGGGCUAAUCAUGCUUUUAACCGGUUGUUUGAAGAGUUUGUGAGGGCACAGCCAAAGUGGAUAUACCUAAACAAUAUAUAUAAAAUAUUAAAAAGAUUACCCAAAAUAAUAAUUAGAAAUAAGUUCUUAACAUUUCAUAAGCAUAUUUUGUGAAUUUUUAUAAAUAAUUUCUUUCAAAAUUUAGAAGUCAUUCGAUCUAUAUAUAAUAACUCUUUAAAAUUUGGAGGUCAAGGGCGAAUGUUUCAUUGGGUCUUACCUCCAUUUCACGGUCGACCCAUUCGAGAGCAUCACCGACUUUGUAGAGAGGAACAAGCAUGUCUUGGAUGACAUGCAUCUCAUGGUAGUAGUUUCUGAUGGCUUCACCUUGAGUGGCCUUAAGAAGAGAGACCUUCGGAGGCAUCAACCAUCCAAACAAGAACCUAAACCAGAACUGGUCACCAAAAGGAAGGAUAAGCUUACCUUCCCAGUACAAGGAACUAGUAUGCCUAUGGUAAUAUUCUCGAGUUGGAAUGUACUCAACAAACUCUCCUUUCUUCAAUGCCGUUUGUGCAUAUUGGUAGAACCAUGGCUUGAACCACCAUCCAACGUUAUUGAUCUUGUUCCCUUUCCUCUUAGCCUCUUCUCUCGAUGCAUAUGUACCUGUCAUCAUUACACCUUCACUUGGACUAUAAACCAUGCCUUCAACAAAAUCUGGUAUCUUAGCUGGAUCCCGAUCUCUAGGUGCAAAAGAGUCCAUAUAACCUUGAGCUAUGGUUUGUAGAUCGCCCUUGACUGGAAUGUAAGUAAGUUUCAUGUAUUCCUUGAUGUGUACAAGCCUGAUCUCGGCAGCAACAAGAAGCCCAAGUGUCCCUUGUGACCAUGGAAUAGCAAAGAAUAGGUCAGAAUACUCAUUGUCCCUAGUGGCUCGGACAAGUUCCCCACCAGCUAGAACAAUCUCGUAAGCCUCAACGGUGUCUGUAAACAAACCAUGCACGUGAGAGCUUCCUUCAAUACCGUAGCCGUUGAUGAGUCCACCAACGGUGAGAUCAUCUAGCUCAGCGACAACUGCAAGGGAUAGGUUCAUUGGAACGGUCACACGGCUAAUCUGUCCCAUGUUCACAAGAGGCUCCACUCUAGCAAUCAUUCUCUCUUUGUCAAUCUUUAUUAUGUUACGGAAAGCAGACAAGUCGACUUCGAAAUGGCGAGCUCGCUUGUAGUCCACGUUUCUCAUUCCUACAGCUAUCCAAGGUUUACGUGCGGUGCAAACAAGCCCGUCCUUUGAUGCAUCCCUUCCCUUGAGUCGUUUGAUGACUUUCUUAACGUUUUGGUCGUGUUCUUUUUGACGUUUCUCGUAGGAUUUUGUUUCAGACCAAACAUCGCCAAGAUAGGUGAGGAAGUAUAAUGUGGCAGAGAUGGGAAGGACGAUGAAGAUGACGACGAUCCAUCGGAACUGGAUGAAGUAAUCAACCCAUAUCUUCUUUCUUUUUGGACGUACUAGUGGUGCCUCAAGAUCCGACAUUUAAAAAAAAAAAACUCUAAGAUAUGCCUAUCUCACUGCAUCAAACGACCAACCAGUUGUAAGUAAACAGAACAUGAGUCGUCAAUAAAUCUCCUCAGGCUUAUAUAAUCAGACAAAUCAAAAGAACAAGAAACACCAUCAGCUAAAGUCCACUUAUACAUGUUGUAGGUUUAGUUUGGAUGCAAGAUCCAACAAGAUUAAUGGUGCUGUGUGCAUGCAUGCUUCAAGUAGCACCUUCCUGUAAAAAACCACACCCAAUAAACAUGUAUGUGAUACAACGUACACUGGCUGAUUUUUUUAUAGCACCGUACCAAAUAUUAUAAGAGAAAGGCAUACCAAGAUGCGUUCGGGUCAUCAGAGUCCGCACAUAUCGGAGGUUGUUGUUCUGAUCUGCUUUUGUAGCAUUCGUUUGAAGUAGGCUUUUUGUAAGUAGCUACACCAACUCCGUUGAUUUUGUCCUUGUUGAUGGAUAUGAGUUCCCAACACAUUUUCUUAGUGAGUUCAGUCAUAGCUGCAAAAUUGGCCAACAUGAGGUAGAUGUGAGAAAACAUGUUCAGAAAAAUUAUAUAUGGAGGAUAGCGUUUUUCUACAACCUUCCCAUAUUUCAACAUCUUCGGUCUUCUUCUGAUAAACUGGAGUAGCAGACCACACAAAGAAGCCACCGGGUCUCAAUACACGAUUAAGCUCCAGAAGGAGUUUUCCACCUGUCCAUGUAUAGUGGACACAAACAUCAGAUAGGUAAUAAAGAUUUCAAUGAAUUUAAUAGAAACAGAUGGUUAAGAUCCAGGAGUUAUCCAUUCAAAGCUACAUGCAUGGCGGUUAUGAGACUUACCUUCUAUGUGCCAUGGCACUCUACAGCGAGCACAGUGAACAAUGUCAAAGACUCUGCCAGGGAAAGGUAGCCUUGUAGUGCCCAUCACCGCAGAAAUGGCGGGAAUGCCUCUCUCAAGAGCAAAUUGCACUUGAGCUUCAUGUUCAUCUUUAGGCGCAAGGGACAUGGUGGUCACGUCUCUGUCAAAGAGGAAACCACCAAAGCUUGCAACACCAC